AGUUUCUGACCUAUCGGCUUUAGACGGUAGGGUAUUGGCCUACCGUGGCUAUGACGGGUAACGGGGAAUUAGGGUUCGAUUCCGGAGAGGGAGCCUGAGAAACGGCUACCACAUCUAAGGAAGGCAGCAGGCGCGCAAAUUACCCAAUCCUAAUACAGGGAGGUAGUGACAAGAAAUAACAAUACAGAGCCUUACGGUUUUGUAAUUGGAAUGAGUUAAGUAUAAACCCCUUAACAAGUAUCAAUUGGAGGGCAAGUCUGGUGCCAGCAGCCGCGGUAAUUCCAGCUCCAAUAGCGUAUAUUAAAGUUGUUGCAGUUAAAAAGCUCGUAGUUAAUUUUCUGUUAAUUUUUAUAUACAAUGCUACGGUAUUUAUAUAAUAUUAACAUAAUUCAUAUUACUUUUUAAGUAUAUGAAACUUUACUUUGAGAAAAUUAGAGUGCUUAAAGCAGGCUAUUGCCUUGAAUACUCCAGCAUGGAAUAAUAUUAAGGAUUUUUAUUCUUCUUAUUGGUUCUAGAAUAAAAAUAAUGAUUAAUAGGGACAGUUGGGGGCAUUUGUAUUUAACAGUCAGAGGUGAAAUUCUUAGAUUUGUUAAAGACAAACUACUGCGAAAGCAUUUGCCAAGGAUGUUUUCAUUAAUCAAGAACGAAAGUUAGGGGAU
Molecule: ribosomal RNA, 659 nt
Filed under: Cryptosporidium ryanae
Lineage: Eukaryota; Apicomplexa; Conoidasida; Eucoccidiorida; Cryptosporidiidae
Description: SSU rRNA
Rfam family: Eukaryotic small subunit ribosomal RNA
Source: RNAcentral